CCCGAAGCCCAGAUCAUCCAUUUGCUAAAAGCGGCCAUUAGUGAGCUGAGCUGAGCGCUCCCUCGAAGAAUACUAUGGAUUGUCAGAAGAAGCUUUCCCUCGCCGUGAUGAUUCGAGUCGUUACUGGUUACUGAAUAUGGCGCAGAUGUUACAUACGGAGAAGAGAUUAUUGAUCAUAAGCUGGUCAAAUGCGAACGCAAAGUAGACGGUAAUGGUUUUCGUUUUGGAGUUUUAUUCCUUUGAUAUUUAUUAAUUUGCCUUACCUAUUCGAAGCUGUUUAGCUGUUUUUGGUUAGAUUUUUAACAAUUAGGCCUAAUUAGUUGGGUAAUUUAGUGUUUAUUGCCUAUCUAAUCUUCACCUGAUAGAAAAUUGUUCGCAAGUUUGGUAUUAAUUUUAUGAGCUAAGAAAUUUUGUAUAUAUUGAAGUUUAGAGAUUUGUCAUUUUGAAGCACAUGUUUUUUGUUAUUUGAUCUUUAGCAAUUGUGGUUUGACAUCAGCUAACUAGUUGCUGCAUCUCAGCAGUCCACUAGGGAUGCUAGAAAUCAAUUAUGAUUUCAAAUUGAUCCUUGUAAGCCUGUCCAGAUGUGCUUUUGUUACUUAAUUCUAAGUUUGCAGUGUCAUGCCAACCAACUUAAGGAAUCCUACUGCAAUACAUAAGCACAUUCUAGUAUAAUCUUCAAUGGCGUACUUACCAUAGAACAAUAAUGAAUUCUUUUGUUUGUUAAAUUUGAGUCAGGCUAGGCUUUUGGAGUACACUGAACACAGAGGUCAGAGGUCAGAUAGGCGAAUAAGCCAGGCAGACUAAUUCAGUGAUAAUCAAUAUCCUGACCGCUUUUGGGGCAAAUUGUUUUCCAACUGAUUGAAGUGUUUGAGUUUACAGUCUAAUCAAAUGGCUAAAUAUAUCUUCCUGUUGAGAUAGGGUUUGGCACGUAAGUAAUAACUCAAUCUUGAAUAUGCUAGAAUUGACACCAUUUUCAAAGUUUUUGCGUUUUCAGUUUCAAAUUGUAACAACUUUUUUCCCUUGUGUUUCACACUAUAUGUUCUAUUUGGAAAUAUCUUUUUUUUUAAUACAUUCACAAUGAAGUUGUGAAUUGUAUCUUUUAGUUUCUCGAAUGCCCCUAUUCUUUAAGGGAGAUGUAUUUACUUAUAGAAAAUGGAGCUCUGUUCUCUAUUUUCUAUCUUCUAAGAGAACCUACUUUUCAUUUUCUAAGGAAAACAGAGGAAACGAUAGAAAACAUAUUCACCUAUCAAUGAAAAAAAAUUAUUUUCUAUUUCAAUAAUAAAAAGUAUUAGUAACUUGUAUAAUUAAAAAAUAAAUCAUUAAAAAAUAUUUUAAAAAUUUAAUUAUUUUAUUUAAAUUUUUUUACCAUGUAUUAAUUAAUUAAUUUAUAAUUAUAUAAUAAAAUUUAUAAUUAUGAUAAUCUCACAAUAUAAUUGUAAAGAACCAUUGUUUUCCAUUUGGAAAAUAAUCAGAAGAAUAGAAAAAUUAGUUGUCCAGUUCUCCAUUUGGAAAACUGACAUGUGGACAUGGAAUUCUAAUUUUUCAGUUUUCUUAAAAUACUUUUUCUUUUUCAAGAAAACUACUCCAGUUUUCUAGGAGUGAACAGGCCCUUAGUGUCUCCCACCCAUCCCUCCUACUGUCACACACACACACACACACACUCUCUCUCUCUCUCUCUCCUCAAUAUUAUGGUCUGAUGUUACCCUGUCUGGGCUGUUUAUAUGUUGAGCUGCUAACCAUGGUUGAUUGAUGUGAUGUACUGCUUUAGGAGGUGUGUGAUAAAUUUGUCAUAAUUUAAAUUGUGAUAUAUUGUUGCCCUUGAGUUGUCUGAUAAAUGCUACCACUUUUUCCUGUUGUCUAAUUAUAGUCAUUGCUAACAGAGAUGUCUUUGGUUAUGAUGAUUUUGAAUGAAUUAAAGGUGCAAACAGGUAGCUAAAUGACACCCUCCAAUUUGUUCUCCUGUAAUGUUUAAGCAUGUGCUAUAUAAUGUGGCUCAAUUUCUGCAACUUUCUUGAACAUUACCUGUUUAUAUAUUUAUGAUUGAAUAUUAGGUUAAUCUUGAUAAGCUGAUUGUUUAUCAGUAUUGGGGCAUUUUGAUAAGUUUUGCCGCAUGAUCAUUUGGGUUUUGGGACACAUCUUGGUUGUUUAUCAGACAAUGUGCCAAUUACAAUUCUGAAAAGGUAUGUGGAUUGUGGAUAAUGAAACUUGAAGAUAUGGUUGAAAGUGAGGAUGAGAAGGGAGAGAGUGGAAGGAGAAACGAUAUGGAGAUAUGUUUACUUCAUUUGAUUGGAAAGAGAUAGAUGGAAGGAAAAAGAAUAGGAAAAUACUAAUACUACGGCAGCCAUCCAAAAUGCAUGGUGGAAAGGAAAGAAGAGGGAAAUGCCUUGAUUUCAUUUUUCACAUUUUCAAACAAACAUGAAAUCUGGUAUUCUCAACCAACCAAAUGGAAUGAAGUAAAAUCUUCCUUCUCUCUUAACCUUUUGCUCCUCCAUAAUUUUAUUCUCUGGCAGAACAAUACUGGUUUCUGAAACCUUUGAUGAAAAAGAAAGAGAGAGCAGAAGUUUUGAAAGAAAAUACUUUAUUAUUCCCAUCAAGCUAAUUGGGAUAUAUAUUAUUUACAAGAGUACAUACUAGGUAAGAAAAUAAAUUAAUUCCCUAAUUAUAUCCAACAAUCAUAUCCCUAAUUAUUACUACAAAUCUAGACUCUUAAACUUAACUUUAAUGGGGCAGUAGAUAAAAAUAAUUACUGUGGUUCUAUAGUAGUUAUAAUAAGAGACUAUUAGAAACAAUUUCUAAUUGCAGGUUGGUCCUGUAAAAAAAUUCCAGGUAUUAUGGACUAUUUUAUUCUUGAAGUCUUAGCUUAUAGAGAGGCAUCCUUGCUUGGUUCCUCUCGAAGUUUUCAAGCUGCUUUGGUGGAAGGAGACAGUCUACAAAUGAUCAACGCAAUCAAGGGACAUUCCUCCUUUCUCUCUAUUAGAGGAGUGAUUAAUGAUAUUUUUUGUUUAGUUUUUUCUCGUAAUCUGUCCCUUCUUUGUGUCAAUAGGAGAAGGAAUAUUGCAGCACAUACUUUAAUUAGAAAUACUUGCUAGAUGACUCCUUCAAUUGUAAUCCUUUGACACAAUCCUCUUUUAUACACUCUUCUCUUACUCACUAAGGGGUUUCAGUAAAACUUUCUUUUUGAAGAAAAAAAAAAUUCUUUGUACUUCGUCCUCA
Molecule: long non-coding RNA, 3213 nt
Organism: Manihot esculenta (cassava)
Lineage: Eukaryota; Viridiplantae; Streptophyta; Magnoliopsida; Malpighiales; Euphorbiaceae
Exons: 2
Source: RefSeq, a predicted model, not a curated record